This 76-nucleotide ribosomal RNA is filed under the name uncultured bacterium. RNAcentral's name for it is "partial 16S ribosomal RNA". The record is from RNAcentral.
CGAUGAUAGGGGUCUGAGAGGAGUACCCCCCACAUUGGAACUGAGACACGGUCCAAACUCCUACGGAAGGCAGCAG